AAGUCGUAACAAGGUUUCCGUAGGUGAACCUGCGGAAGGAUCAUUAUCACAAAUGAUUUUUAACUCUCUUAAUCCAGAGUUAAACCUCUUCUCUAAACCAAUUUAAUUCAAAUGUGAAAUUGUUUUAACAAUGUGUAUUUAUUGUGACGAGUAGUUUGGUCUUCCUUUCUACUUGGAUCAAUAAAUUCAUAUUCUUUUUUUUUUAACCAAUUGAACCCUUUUCUAAUUUAUGUUAUUUUAUUUCUAUUUAGUACUGAAAUAUUUAUUAUAAAUUCAAUAUGCAAAUAUUGAGAUUAUAAUAAAAUUACAUUACGAAACAAUAUAAAUAAAACAACUCUUAGCAACGGAUAUCUUGGUUCUCGUAACGAUGAAAAACGCAGC
This 381-nucleotide unclassified non-coding RNA is filed under the name fungal sp. RNAcentral's name for it is "partial internal transcribed spacer region". The stretch from base 1 to 46 matches the Rfam family "Eukaryotic small subunit ribosomal RNA", at positions 1786 to 1831 of the family's 1831-position model. Lineage: Eukaryota; Fungi. The record is from RNAcentral.